This 411-nucleotide ribosomal RNA is filed under the name uncultured bacterium. RNAcentral's name for it is "bacterial SSU rRNA". The stretch from base 1 to 350 matches the Rfam family "Bacterial small subunit ribosomal RNA", at positions 149 to 545 of the family's 1533-position model. The record is from RNAcentral.
ACUCAAGAGUGGCUAAUACCGCAUACGCCCUACGGGGGAAAGGGGGGAUCGACCUCUCACUAUUGGAGCGGCCGAUAUCGGAUUAGCUAGUUGUGUAAAGGCUCACCAAGGCAACGAUCCGUAGCUGGUUUGAGAGGAGACCCACACUGGGACUGAGACACGGCCCAGACUCCUACGGGAGGCACAGGGAAUUUUGGACAAUGGGGGGAACCCUGAUCCAGCCAUCCCGCUGUAUGAAGGCCUUCGGGUUGUAAAGUACUUUUGGCAGAGAAGAAAGGUUCCUAAUACGAGAUACUGCUGACGGUAUCUGCAGAAUAAGCAAGCCUUCCAGCACACUGGCGGCCGUUACUAGUGGAUCCGAGCUCGGUCCAUGGCGUAAUCAUGGUCAUAGCUGUUUCCUGUGUGAAAUUG